This is a long non-coding RNA of Callorhinchus milii (elephant shark), 324 nucleotides long. RefSeq lists it as uncharacterized. NCBI's taxonomy places the organism in Eukaryota, Metazoa, Chordata, Chondrichthyes, Chimaeriformes, Callorhinchidae. The transcript is spliced from 3 exons. The record is from RefSeq and is a predicted model, not a curated record.
AUCCUGCUUGAGGGGCGCUAAAUAAAUACAAUUCCAGACACCAUGGAAACCAGGCAAGAGUUUCCAUAGUUACACACAGAGGAGGAAUAAUGCUGCUCAUCUGGAUUCUCUUUUAACAUGUUCUACGCUUUCAAUGUCUGCCAGAGAACAAGUGACAUGAUGGAAUAGCAUAGUGUGAUUGAAAACCAGAUGGCAUGUUAUCAGAAACAGAUGCUGUAGAGGAAGUACCAUUCUACAAAGAUAGACAUUUUGGAAGUUUAUAAUGAGAAAUGAGGAGCUUUGCGUCAAAUUUAGGCCUAUUAUACUGUGAUGGUAUGCAGCCUU